AGCACUUUGAGAUAUCAGCUGAUGUACGACGGGCUAUAUAAAUACAUUUGAUUUGAUUUGUAUGUGUCUGUGAAACCUCUGUGUGACUUGUAUGUGUGAAAGCCAUUUCCUCUGCUCCUGCGAGAGAUAAAACAUUUGUAAUCACAAAAGGAAGAUAUUGGUGUAACUGCUUUACGUGUGAAUGUGAGGAUACGUUAUUUUUUCCAUGUUUGUCAAUGAAGCUAAACAAGUUGCUGGAUCAAACGAAAGACAAUUAAUAACAUUGCCCAAAUCUCUAACAAGCCCUUUGCUUUGACAGACACAGUAGUCCUUCUAGAAGGCGUUCGGCAUCAAGACGUCCCAGAUGGAAUUGUUUGAGGAUGUUGCCAAGUCCCUCGUUGAUGACCUCAUUCACAGCAAGAACGCCGUAAGAGAAGGUCAGAGGGCAGCCCUGCCCAGGGGGACAACCGUACGGAGGGACACUGGACAGACGUGGAGACCAGGGUAAGAGAAGGUCAUCAGAGGGCAGCCCGGCCCAGGGGGACGACCAUACGGAGGGACACUGGACAGACGUGGAGACCAGGGUAAGAGAAGGUCAUCAGAGGGCAGCCCGGCCCAGGGGGACGACCGUACGGAGGGACACUGGACAGACGUGGAGACCAGGGUAAGAGAAGGUCAUCAGAGGGCAGCCCUGCCCAGGGGGACGACCGUACGGAGGGACACUGGACAGACGUGGAGACCAGGGGAGUUUUCAAGACCGCGCAAUCCCAUCUCGUACCAGGCUGUCAUCAUAACCAUUCUAGAAGCUUCCACAUUGUGUGUUCCAGAUGAGGGCUGGAUGGAUCCAGGGUCCAGGCUACCAGCACCGUGGAUAUCAGAGGCGCAGAAAGCCCUGAGAUGGUCCAGUCCUGUGCUGUCUGGGCUGCUCCAUACACCUCAUCCCCUCCCUCCUCAACCCUCACCCCCUUCCCUCCUUA
Molecule: long non-coding RNA, 956 nt
Organism: Salvelinus namaycush (lake trout)
Lineage: Eukaryota; Metazoa; Chordata; Actinopteri; Salmoniformes; Salmonidae
Exons: 4
Source: RefSeq, a predicted model, not a curated record